This 255-nucleotide ribosomal RNA is filed under the name Triticum aestivum (bread wheat). RNAcentral describes it as "partial small subunit ribosomal RNA". Lineage: Eukaryota; Viridiplantae; Streptophyta; Magnoliopsida; Poales; Poaceae. The record is from RNAcentral.
AUGAAAACCUUAUGCUUGAACUGCCGCAUGUGUGGGCAGCCCGAGGUAAUUCAGGAGCUCCGCCUUCUAGUGGAGCAGCAUAACCCAGAUUUUGUCUUCCUCUCGGAGACAAAGAUGUCUAAAGAAAGAGCAAAGAAUCUGAGAUUUAAAUUGGAGUUUCAUGAUGCGAUAGCUGUAAGUAGUGAAGGGCUAAGUGGAGGACUAGUUCUCAUGUGGAAAAAGGGUAUUAUCGUGAGGGAACAAACUAAAAAAUAA